UACAGAGGGGGCAAGCGUUAUUCGGAAUUAUUGGGCGUAAAGGGCGCGUAGGCGGCUUUGCAAGUGACGGGUGAAAGCCCUCGGCUUAACCCCGGAAUUGCACCUCAAACUACAUGGCUAGAGCAUUGGAGAGGGUAGCGGAAUUCACGGUGUAGCAGUGAAAUGCGUAGAUAUCGUGAGGAACACCAGAGGCGAAGGCGGCUACCUGGACAAUUGCUGACACUCAGGCACGAAAGCGUGGGGAGCAAAAGGG
This 253-nucleotide ribosomal RNA is filed under the name uncultured bacterium. RNAcentral describes it as "partial 16S ribosomal RNA". It matches the Rfam family "Bacterial small subunit ribosomal RNA", at positions 524 to 776 of the family's 1533-position model. The record is from RNAcentral.